CUGAGAAAGGGUCUCCAGGCCCAAUCUUCAACCCCAUGUUUAUACUACCUUGUUUCUUUGGCGGGGUUAAAGCCGCCAGAAGAAUUCUCAAACUCAUCAUAAAUGUGUCGUCUGAAUAACAAAAUAAAUAAAUUA
RNAcentral lists this unclassified non-coding RNA (135 nucleotides) under uncultured Ascomycota. RNAcentral's name for it is "sequence contains ITS1". Lineage: Eukaryota; Fungi; Ascomycota. The record is from RNAcentral.